Molecule: long non-coding RNA, 799 nt
Organism: Sitophilus oryzae (rice weevil)
Lineage: Eukaryota; Metazoa; Arthropoda; Insecta; Coleoptera; Curculionidae
Exons: 3
Source: RefSeq, a predicted model, not a curated record
UACUUUUUCCUAACAUUACGAUUGCGUCCGAACGUCUUCGGAAAGUAAAAAACACUGUUGCCAGUAUUCGCAUAUUUUCGUAAGUAUAUCAGACAGAGUGAAUUAUUAUGGAAUUAUUGUUCGUUACUGAACGGAGUGAAUUAUUGUGAAUUGAAAAUGGAAGGAUUAUUUAAAAAGGAAGCCAGAAGGUAGGAAAUUUCAUUUGUGCUUAUCUUUUGUAGUUAUGUAUUAAAAAAACAAAAUAUUCAGUAUCCAUAAUGUUUCGGUUUACUUAUAACUUGAUUAGCAUGUAUUUAAGUGCAAGGUAAUUAAUUAAUUUGUAAUAAAAUACUUUCAGAUCCUCUCAAAGUGGAGGACAAGUACUGGCAGCUGGAUAAUCCAACUCCGAUUGGAUCCGCAAUUAUAUGAAGAUAUAGAUGUGAAAAUAAUAAUAGUGGAAUAUAUUAGCGUAGUUCGAGCAGCAACGGUGGCAAAAUGGUGUCUAGUUAGUUACCAUAGUUACAAUAGAACAAAAAGGUAGGUGUAGGUAUACCUACGCUCACCUUCAGUAGCACUUUUUCACCAGCCACCCGCAGUUCGCAGUCACUAGAAUACCAGAGGGACUACAGUUUGAUUUAUUUUAUUUUAUCAUACAUUUAUAUUUUGUAAUAAACCAUAUCAUAUAAUACCAACUUCCAUGCUUUAUUUUGACCGACUUAAAGUUCAUGAAUAAAUUCGAAAUAUUUUGAAAAAAUUUCCUUAUUAAGGUCUUAAAAUUGAAUUGCAAUAUCAUUUAAGGGGUGGUAAAAAAGUUGAGUUG